GACGAACGCUGGCGGCGUGCUUAACACAUGCAAGUCGAACGGGAUUUAGUAAACGGAAGCCUCGGUGGAAGAUUACUAAUGAGAGUGGCGAACGGGUGAGUAACGCGUGAGCAACCUGCCUAUGACAGUGGGAUAGCCUCGGUAAACCGGGAUUAAUACCGCAUAAAAUCGUAGAAACACAUGUUUCAACGGUCAAAGAUUUAUCGGUCAUAGAUGGGCUCGCGUCUGAUUAGCUAGUUGGUGAGAUAACAGCCCACCAAGGCGACGAUCAGUAGCCGGUCUGAGAGGAUGAACGGCCACAUUGGAACUGAGACACGGUCCAAACUCCUACGGGAGGCAGCAGUGGGGAAUAUUGCACAAUGGGGGAAACCCUGAUGCAGCGACGCCGCGUGAACGAAGAAGGUAUUCGUAUCGUAAAGUUCUGUCCUAUGGGAAGAUAAUGGCAGCACCAUAGAAGAAAGCUCCGGCUAAAUACGUG
This 478-nucleotide ribosomal RNA is filed under the name uncultured bacterium. Its description in RNAcentral is "partial 16S ribosomal RNA". It matches the Rfam family "Bacterial small subunit ribosomal RNA", at positions 28 to 507 of the family's 1533-position model. The record is from RNAcentral.